This 486-nucleotide ribosomal RNA is filed under the name Circe scripta. RNAcentral describes it as "partial large subunit ribosomal RNA". It matches the Rfam family "Bacterial large subunit ribosomal RNA", at positions 1822 to 2620 of the family's 2925-position model. The record is from RNAcentral. Lineage: Eukaryota; Metazoa; Mollusca; Bivalvia; Venerida; Veneridae.
CGUUGUUUGUAAUUUAAUGAAGUCGGACCUGCCCGGUGGAUUAAUUUCUAAACGGCUAUUAAAUGUACUAAGGUAGCACAAUAGAUCAUCCUUUAAUUGAGGAAGGGAAUGAAUGGUUUGUCACAGAUUAGCUGUCUUUAAAUUAUAUAGUGAAGUUUCCUUUUAAGUGAAAAGGCUUAAAUUUUUGUGAAAGAAGAGAAGACCCUAUCGAGCUUAAUUAGAUAUUAAUUAGUUAAUUAAUUUUUGAAUUUUUAUUGGGGCAAUAGAGGGCUAUAAUUAACGCCUUUUUUUAUUAAUAAAGAUCCUAUUUGAUAGAUAAAAAGCAAAAGCUACCGUAGGGAUAACAGCGUAAUUUUUUUUUUGAGACCGUAUUGGAAAAAAAGUUUGCGACAUCGAUGUUGAAUUAAGAGUUUCUUAUGGUGCAGCCGCUAUAAGAGUAAGACUGUUCGUCUUGUAUUUUCUUACAUGAUCUGAGUUCAGACCGGA